This 223-nucleotide unclassified non-coding RNA is filed under the name uncultured Lysobacteraceae bacterium. Its description in RNAcentral is "uncultured Xanthomonadaceae bacterium contains 16S-23S intergenic spacer region". Lineage: Bacteria; Pseudomonadati; Pseudomonadota; Gammaproteobacteria; Lysobacterales; Lysobacteraceae. The record is from RNAcentral.
UCCGGUUUGUCACCGGCGGUCUCCUUAGAGUUCCCACCAUUACGUGCUGGCAACUAAGGACAAGGGUUGCGCUCGUUGCGGGACUUAACCCAACAUCUCACGACACGAGCUGACGACAGCCAUGCAGCACCUGUGUUCGAGUUCCCGAAGGCACCAAUCCAUCUCUGGAAAGUUCUCGACAUGUCAAGGCCAGGUAAGGUGGGGAUGACGUGUCGUUACCUUA